UCCGUAGGUGAACCUGCGGAAGGAUCAUUGAAUCGAUCGAACCCACUUUGGUAACCAAACAACCCCCUCUAUGGGAAGCCAUAGGGGCGUCAGUCCCCUGGCCCAGGCACCGUCCUGGCAACCAGGUCUGGCGGGGUGGCAAUUUUUUAAUUGACGCCUGGUAAUUUAUCUAACUCUUUUUAACACACCCCAAACACAAACUCUAUCUGAAGCCAAAGGAAGGGUGGCCCUGUGCCCCCAUCCACAAACUAAAGACAACUCUCAACAACGGAUAUCUUGGCUCCCGUAUCGAUGAAGAACGCAGCGAAAUGCGAUACGUAGUGUGAAUUGCAGAAUUCCGUGAACCAUCGAAUCUUUGAACGCAAAUUGCGCCCGCGGCUCCGGCUAAGGGCAUGUCUGCCUCAGCGUCGGCUUACACCCCUCACUCACUUUCCCGUGUGGAUAGCGAGUGGACCUGGCACCCUCGGAUUGAUGGCUUUUAGUCAGUCUAAUCCGGGUCUGCUGAAGUUAAGAGGCUUGAGCAUGGACCCCGUUUGUAGGGCAAUGACUUGGUAGGUAGGCUUUGCCUGCACCCCACCUGUCGUUGCCUGAGGGGUCUUUGCUGGGAGCCCAGCAGGAAUUGCAGGUUCGGCUUGUCCAGCCCGCAAUUUUCUCAUUUCGACCUGAGCUCAGGCAAGAUUACCCGCUGAACUUAAGCAUAUCAAUAAGCGGAGG
This 714-nucleotide ribosomal RNA is filed under the name Dictyosphaerium sp. KAERI-NJ2. Its description in RNAcentral is "eukaryotic LSU rRNA". The stretch from base 257 to 410 matches the Rfam family "5.8S ribosomal RNA". The record is from RNAcentral. Lineage: Eukaryota; Viridiplantae; Chlorophyta; Trebouxiophyceae; Chlorellales; Chlorellaceae.